This 468-nucleotide ribosomal RNA is filed under the name uncultured bacterium. RNAcentral's name for it is "partial 16S ribosomal RNA". It matches the Rfam family "Bacterial small subunit ribosomal RNA", at positions 28 to 507 of the family's 1533-position model. The record is from RNAcentral.
GACGAACGCUGGCGGCGUGCUUAACACAUGCAAGUCGAACGGAAAGGCCCUGCUUUUGUGGGGUGCUCGAGUGGCGAACGGGUGAGUAACACGUGAGUAACCUGCCCUUGACUUUGGGAUAACUUCAGGAAACUGGGGCUAAUACCGGAGAGGAGCUCCUGCUGCAUGGUGGGGGUUGGAAAGUAUCGGCGGUUGUGGAUGGACUCGCGGCUAAUCAGCUUGUUGGUGGGGUAGUGGCUUACCAAGGCUUUGACUGGUAGCCGGCCUGAGAGGGUAGCCGGGCACCAGAGGACUAAGGUAGGGCGCAGUCGGGAACGGGGGACAACAGGCGGGAGCCUUAUCCAGCGGUGGGGAGCGUGUGAAGAAGGCCCCCGGAGCGGAAAGAAGGCCAAGGGGUGAUGAACCGCAUUAACCUGAGACCAUGCGUGUGUGACGGUAAUGAGUAAAGAAGCACCGGCUAACUACGUG